UACAGAGGUGGCAAGCGUUGUUCGGAAUUACUGGGCGUAAAGGGCGCGUAGGCGGUCUGGUCAGUCCCGUGUGAAAUCCCUCGGCUCAACUGAGGAACUGCACGGGAAACUGCCUGGCUUGAGUUCGGGAGAGGGAAGCGGAAUUCCGGGUGUAGCGGUGAAGUGCGUAGAUAUCCGGAGGAACACCGGUGGCGAAGGCGGCUUCCUGGACCGACACUGACGCUGAUGCGCGAAAGCUAGGGGAGCAAACGGG
RNAcentral lists this ribosomal RNA (253 nucleotides) under uncultured bacterium. RNAcentral describes it as "partial 16S ribosomal RNA". It matches the Rfam family "Bacterial small subunit ribosomal RNA", at positions 524 to 776 of the family's 1533-position model. The record is from RNAcentral.